UGGGGAAUAUUGCACAAUGGGCGCAAGCCUGAUGCAGCCAUGCCGCGUGUGUGAAGAAGGCCUUCGGGUUGUAAAGCACUUUCAGCGGGGAGGAAGGCGUUAAGGUUAAUAACCUUGGCGAUUGACGUUACCCGCAGAAGAAGCACCGGCUAACUCCGUGCCAGCAGCCGCGGUAACACGGAGGGUGCAAGCGUUAAUCGGAAUUACUGGGCGUAAAGCGCACGCAGGCGGUUUGUUAAGUCAGAUGUGAAAUCCCCGGGCUCAACCUGGGAACUGCAUCUGAUACUGGCAAGCUUGAGUCUCGUAGAGGGGGGUAGAAUUCCAGGUGUAGCGGUGAAAUGCGUAGAGAUCUGGAGGAAUACCGGUGGCGAAGGCGGCCCCCUGGACGAAGACUGACGCUCAGGUGCGAAAGCGUGGGGAGCAAACAGG
This 429-nucleotide ribosomal RNA is filed under the name Chloroflexota bacterium. Its description in RNAcentral is "Chloroflexi bacterium partial 16S ribosomal RNA". It matches the Rfam family "Bacterial small subunit ribosomal RNA", at positions 355 to 776 of the family's 1533-position model. The record is from RNAcentral. Lineage: Bacteria; Bacillati; Chloroflexota.